Molecule: long non-coding RNA, 265 nt
Filed under: Medicago truncatula (barrel medic)
Lineage: Eukaryota; Viridiplantae; Streptophyta; Magnoliopsida; Fabales; Fabaceae
Description: lncRNA gene13640
Source: RNAcentral
UCACAGCAGAAAACACCCUUAGUAGAUAUUGAUAUGCCUUGCCGCGUUGAUGUUUUAGAAAUGUGCAGGUGGAGGGCAAUUACUGGGUCGGUUAUGCCCGUUUUUCCUCGAGCAGGGAUUUAAUGAGGGCUUUUGGGAUGGUUUAGGACGAGGGAAAGGUACUGGUUUGGAUGGAGUGAAAUGGGGUAAAUGCUUUAUGAUUCCUGGAGGGAGAUGUAUGGCAUCAACAGCAAAAUGUUGAGGAACAAACAUAAGAGCAGCAAGG